This 859-nucleotide ribosomal RNA is filed under the name Exserohilum rostratum. RNAcentral's name for it is "partial 28S ribosomal RNA". It matches the Rfam family "Eukaryotic large subunit ribosomal RNA", at positions 64 to 941 of the family's 3401-position model. The record is from RNAcentral. Lineage: Eukaryota; Fungi; Ascomycota; Dothideomycetes; Pleosporales; Pleosporaceae.
ACCAACAGGGAUUGCCCUAGUAACGGCGAGUGAAGCGGCAACAGCUCAAAUUUGAAAUCUGGCUCUUUCAGAGUCCGAGUUGUAAUUUGCAGAGGGCGCUUUGGCUUUGGCAGCGGUCCAAGUUCCUUGGAACAGGACGUCACAGAGGGUGAGAAUCCCGUACGUGGUCGCUAGCUAUUGCCGUGUAAAGCCCCUUCGACGAGUCGAGUUGUUUGGGAAUGCAGCUCUAAAUGGGAGGUAAAUUUCUUCUAAAGCUAAAUAUUGGCCAGAGACCGAUAGCGCACAAGUAGAGUGAUCGAAAGAUGAAAAGCACUUUGGAAAGAGAGUCAAACAGCACGUGAAAUUGUUGAAAGGGAAGCGCUUGCAGCCAGACUUGCUUGCAGUUGCUCAUCCGGGCUUUUGCCCGGUGCACUCUUCUGCAGGCAGGCCAGCAUCAGUUUGGGCGGUGGGAUAAAGGUCUCUGUCAUGUACCUCUCUUCGGGGAGGCCUUAUAGGGGAGGCGACAUACCACCAGCCUAGACUGAGGUCCGCGCAUCUGCUAGGAUGCUGGCGUAAUGGCUGUAAGCGGCCCGUCUUGAAACACGGACCAAGGAGUCUAACAUCUAUGCGAGUGUUUGGGUGUCAAGCCCGAGCGCGUAAUGAAAGUGAACGGAGGUGGGAACCCGCAAGGGUGCACCAUCGACCGAUCCUGAAGUUUACGGAAGGAUUUGAGUAAGAGCAUGGCUGUUGGGACCCGAAAGAUGGUGAACUAUGCUUGAAUAGGGUGAAGCCAGAGGAAACUCUGGUGGAGGCUCGCAGCGGUUCUGACGUGCAAAUCGAUCGUCAAAUUUGGGCAUAGGGGCGAAAGACUAAUCGAACU